Long non-coding RNA from Bubalus bubalis (water buffalo), 3813 nucleotides. RefSeq lists it as uncharacterized. NCBI's taxonomy places the organism in Eukaryota, Metazoa, Chordata, Mammalia, Artiodactyla, Bovidae. The transcript has 4 exons. The record is from RefSeq and is a predicted model, not a curated record.
GGAUACCCAGACACCCUCCCCGGCACACGGCCCUGCGCCUAAAAUGUCCACCCGUCUCCCUCCCGCUAGCCUUUGCCCCCGGCCCCCAAGAAGAACCAGGCAGCCCUCUCUGUAUCCUCGGCCACAGCAAAGAACAUCUCGGCUGGAGCGCGCUGACCGCGAUGCCGGGGCGGCGGGGCGGGGGGUACGGGUGGGGUUUUGAACUGUGCAGCUGGGGAGCAGAGUUUUCCGAGAGAGGCAGAGUGACACGGAUUUCCUUGUAGAGCCGCGCUGGCUCUUCGCGGCCUCGUGCAGGCUUUCUCCAGCUGCGGCCAGCAGCGGCUCCUCUCUGCUUGCAGCACGUGGGCUUCUCAUCGCAGUGGCACCUUUUGUUGUGGCGUGAGGGCUCUAGGUGCCCCAUGGCACGUGGGCUCUUACUGGACCAGGGAUCAAACUAGCGUCCCCUGCAUUCCAAGGUGGACGCUAAACCUCUGGACCCCCAGGGAAGCCCUCAACAGGGUUCACCUCCUUCCAGUUUGCUGAUGCCCUUCGGAGAACACCCAGCCUUUUAACACAGCUCUUCAGGCUCUGUGGAGCUGAGCCGGCCGGCCUCGGACAGGUCUCUUCUCCACCACCCACCUCCCAUCCCAUCCCACUCCAAUACGAGCUUUUCUGCAGCUCUCUGUCUGUAGCUGAAACCUCUUCUCUUCACCCCGACCGCCCUUGCUUCUAAUAUACGUUUCAGCGAUGCACCCUGGAAACUCCUGACACUUCUGCUAAACCUGAGGGCAGGCACAGUCUGCUUUCCUCACCAUUGACCCUUCCCAGCACAACCCCCGCUGAGGACCUGAGGAACGCCCGCGGACCGGCGCCAGCGGGCGGACUCCCGUGGGCGGACGGCGCCACCUGCUGGCCCACACCGGCACUGCAGCACCUGGACGCGGGCUCUCAGCCCACCCUGGAGACAGGGUAACUGAGCUGGUGCCGGCCAUAAAGAUUCUGCCUGCCAGUGCACGAGAUGGAAGAGACGAAGGUUCGAUCCCUGGGUUGGAUGAUCCCUUGACAAAGGGCAUGGCACCCACUCGUCUCCUUGCCUGGAGAAGCCCGUGGACAGAGGAGCCUGGUGAGCUGCAGUCCAUGGGGUCGCCAAGAGUCGGACAUGAGAGCACGCACUCAGCUGAGGCACAGAGCAGUCAGAUGCCUCCCCAGGAGCACACAGACUGAAACUUUCACCCCAGGCGGUCUGACCUGAACCUGGACUGUUUUUUCCCGGAUGCUCCGUGCAGUCUGUGGGACGCUAGUUAUCCAACAGGAAAUGAACCUGGGCCCUUGGCAGUGAAGGUGACACGACCCAAGCACCGGGCGGCCAGGGAGCUCCCUGAGCCUGUCCUCUGUAAGCCUGUCAUGCGCUGCCUCUACUUGUCCUGCACGCCCAGGGGCCCGGUGAGGUUACGUGCCGGACGCCAGCCUCUGCUACCACAGUGGCAUUGGGGUCACCGAAGCUCCCAGUGCAGCGAGCCGCCCUGAGCCGCAGUUCUCCAAGGGCUCCGUCAGGACAGGAGUCACUGCGGCCUCUCCUGUGCGUGUAGAGGUCCAUCCUGGCCUCCAGGCUACUGCUCCUCUCCUGUGACCCAGAAACCACCACCUCUCAGAGCCCCCGUUUCCUAAGAGGGCCUCUAGCCUGCUGGGUGGAUCGGACCACAGAUCCCACCAACGGUGAGGAGUGCGGGUCCCAGUGCGGACUCAGGUGGACCCCAGAUGGCUAAUGGCGGUUAUCACUCAGGCCCUCCCCUGGAUCACACACACCGUGCGUGACGCUGGGUCCCUUCACAUGUUCCGCUGUGGCUGUUUAGAACCAAGACACGUCGUGGCUACUUAAGUCCCAUCUCCUUUCCACCCGCUCCUCUAAAUCAUUUCUUUUCCAUCAUUUGGGAAAAUGAUGUGCCGGCCUGCACUUCAGUUGUUAAACAUAAAAAGCUGGGCUUCCCUGGUGGUACAGUGGUGAAGAAGCCACCCACCAAUGCAGGAGACACAGGUUUGAUCCCUGGUCCAGGAAGAUUCCACCUGCCGCGGAGCAACUGGGACCGCGAGCUGCAGCCGCUGAAGCCCCCGUGCCUACAGCCUGUGCUCCGCAACGAGCCCCGCACACCGCAACCAGAGAGAGCCCGCUCCCAGCAACGAGAGCCCUGCACACCGCAACCAGAGAGAGCCCGCUCCCAGCAACGAGAGCCCCGCACACCGCAACCAGAGAGAGCCCACUCCCGGCAACGAGAGCCCUGCACACCGCAACCAGAGAGAGCCCACUCCCAGCAACGAGAGCCCCGCACACCGCAACCAGAGAGAGCCCGCUCCCAGCAACGAAGACCCAGCGCAUCCAAACCAAACAAAGCAUACGCUUGUUACAAAAAAAGAAGUAUCUUGGGAACCUUCUGUGGCCCAGCCAUUACUGUAAGUGGUUUAUUCACGUUAACUCACUUUACCUUCACCCAGCCCUAUGACUGUCCCCCAACUUUACAGAUAAGGAAGCCAAGCAUGGUGAGGUCAGGGUCACACAGCGAGCGGCUGACGGGGACUGCCCACUUAAGCCACAGGACCGGUCUCUGCUUUUAAACACGUCAGACUCCCUCUGCUGGUAGAGGCUGUGUCUGCCGCCUUCACUCCCAAGUGCCAGGCACACUGCUUUGCACACUGUGGGUGUCAACAAAUUUGUUUUAAUAUAUAAUAUAUAUAUAUACACACAGUCACGGGCCCGCCUGGGAAAGGGCUCCAUCAUACUCCAGCUCCUGGAGACUCUCCAGAAGGAGUCCAGGCCUGGCAGUCUUCACAGAUGACGCCCAGCGAGGGGCAUGUUUAGUAGACAGGUGGGGAGGGAGGGGGAGCACCUUAGGUGUGCUGCUGCGCCUCAUGCAGGCCCAGAACUCUGCUGCGCCCUCUUCAUCAGCUCCUCAUCCUGCAUAGACAGCUCUGUCAACUUCUUGCCCAUCCGCUCAUGGAUGUCCAGGUACUUGGAGACACAGCGGUCCAGGCACACGGACUCGCCCUUGGACAGCUCUGCUUCCUUGUAGUGGGGAGGCACGCACUUCCGGUGGCAGGCGCUGGUCAUUCUAGAAAGAAGGGCAAGGUCGGAUCAGCAGCCUGCUGUGGCAAACCUGGAACUCGCGACGACUCCUGCCCUGCUACCCUGAUCUCACCCGCCAGGAAGGCAGUGUGAACCCCCAAUCUGCGCCUCCGCCGUCUUGGGAGGCCCUUGUCUGAGCCCAUGGUCACCCUGUGUUUCUGACUCAUCAGACAGGAACCGUUAGCUGAGUAUUGGCUACGUUCCGGACAUCACACUAAGCGCGUGACGUGGAUUCUGCCACGCAGUCCUUAGGAUGACUCUAUGCAGUCAGCACGAUCGUUACCCUCUUUUUACAGAUGAGGGAGUGAAGGAACAGGGAGCCUCAGGAUCACAUAAAGCUGGGCUACGACCCCAGGGAGCCUGACUGGGGGCUUCCUGGGGGCGCAGUGGUAAAGAACCCGCCUGCCAAUGCAGGAGACGUAAGAGACGUGGGUUCAAUCCCUGGGCGGGGAACAGCACCUGGAACAGGGCAUGGCAACCCACUCCAGUGUUCUUGCCUCGAGAAUCCCACAGACAGAGGAGCCUGAUGGGCUACAGUCCAUGAGGUCGCAGACUUGGACAAGGCCAAAGCAGCUUACACGCAUGCAUGAAGCCUGACUUCACAGCUUACUUUAGAAAAUUAUUCUCACAUAUAGCCUUCGAGACAAACCCAACUAAUCAAAGGAGGAUACCAGAGAGUUUUAGCCAAUAAAAAUAGCAAAUAAUUGUUGACUGCC